This 1632-nucleotide long non-coding RNA is filed under the name Ananas comosus (pineapple). RNAcentral's name for it is "long non-coding RNA (ACOM_LNC031046)". The record is from RNAcentral. Lineage: Eukaryota; Viridiplantae; Streptophyta; Magnoliopsida; Poales; Bromeliaceae.
UUUUUUUUCCCCUCUCUGACAGCAGCAGGUGAACGGAAUGGAAAGUUCGCAGGUUCCAUCGCCUCCUAGUCAUCUGUCAGCCGAGUCUUCAACAGCUGUCUGGCCAGUCUUCUGAAUCUGUGGUAGCGCCGUCUGUUUCACCGGUUUGUAAAUGUUCUAGAAAUUUUUUGCACUUGGUACGUAUAUUUAGAACGGUAAUUAACUCAUGUACUGUCGCGCAACUUGAGUUAGGAGCGUGUGAAGAACUUAUGUGUUCUUAUGAACGGAGUACUGAGUACUCUUUCCCGUUUUAAUGUGUUACUAGUGAAAGACGUUAACUCAUUUAGUGUCCGCUAAUUCAAUAUUAUUUAAGAUAAUCAUGAUCACUUACCUACAUUCUUCUAUAUUUUUCAACCAACGGCGCGCAAUGACGGCCCUGCCGACGUGAAUAAUUUAGUAGUUUACUUUACGAUGCGUUUGACUUUUAAGCUCAGGUUAGUAAAAUUUUACUUGGCGCCUCGAUGAUGUACUUAUUAUGGAUGAUUUAGUACUCAUUUACCCGAAAGAAUGAAAGUGGGUAUCCAUGAACCUUAUGACGCUCAUUGAAAUUUUUAGCAUGCGGUUUUCUCAUUUCGAUUUCGAUUACGAUAUAAUUUUUAUAUAUCAAGUUAAAUAGUUUUUUUAAGGAAUUUAUGUGAUAUUGCGAAUUGGUAUUUUGAGCGGCAGCCCCCACUAAUAAACAAUAUCAUUUGACUUUCCAAAAAUUAAAGGAAAAAGAAAAAGAAAAGUGAAAAAGCCGCUUGGCCCAAUAAGAAAUUGGCCAGGGGACUCAAUCAAGGCCGAAUGGGCCAAUAAACGGGUAUUCUCAGAGCCCGUCCUUCUUGUCGGACAAGUCUAUUUUUGGCAUGUCUCAGUUUUUAACCCGAAAUCGAAAGUUUUCGUUUCGGGAGGAGAUUAAUCAUACAAUCAAGCUUUGUUCAACGCUGUGGCGUUACGCUUUUAGGCAUAUCACUAUUACAAUUACACACCCACGUUGUACGUGCCCCAUUACAAUUACACACCCACGUUGUAUGUGCCCCUGGUUGCGGCCCCGAUAAUUAACGCAGUGCUUAUCUUCGGAGGGGACCGUUUAAAUUGUAGGCUCGUUACAUUACAGAGGACCAUUAUGGGCCUUAAUAUCUGAAACUAUUACCGUACCAGGCAUUAAAGGACCAUUACUGACCCACAGCAUCACAACAACAGCUAAAAGUUGAACAGAUACAAGCAGAUACCAGGAGCUAUACCGUCAUAUACAAUUGACGUUCCAACACAAACUGGGAAAACUCCUCAAUCAGAAAACAGAGAGACAAAACAACUUCAGUGGAUCCCCAAAAAACUGCUAUGCCUCCACUUAUUAUUAGUCCUGAGAUAACUUUCUGAAGAACGAAGCACCCCCCCCCUAAAGCAUAGCUAAGAGCGCGAUUCGGCCUUUAUUCUUUCAUUUCCUCCUAUACUAACAACUAAUAUGAAAAUAUAACUUAAACAGAGCUUUAAAAAGAAAACUAAUAGUUGUAACCCUUUACGUGAAGACUCUCAGAUGCACCUUCUGUAGCGGCGUCUCCCUUGUGUGCCCCGAGGGUCGCCUCCGAAUUCGCCUUGCACCUGGAAAGAAAA